UGUGCCGGAUGCCGUGUAGGGUCUGACUGAAGUCUCCGACCGAGGUCUCCUCCCUCCUCCCUGGUGUUUGGAAUUCCAGAGGCGUGUGGACGUGAUGGAGUGCAGCUGUCAGCCGAGUGUCACUCAUCCUGUUUACAGAGUUCUGCAUCUCCACAGACUAAGAGUGAAGAGACUCCUGAGCAAAGAACUGUUAAAAAAAGCCAUCGCAUCCAGUGGAAGUGAACUUUCAGGAACGAAAGGAAUGGGAGGAGUUAGCAAUUGGCUGAUCCGAGGCCGGCAAUCCCUGUACAUCCAUCCGCCCCAUUGUUCAUAUCGUUCCACACUUGUCAAGAGCUGGAAACAGUUAUCGUGGUAAUUAUGAGAGUAAUAGCACCUAAAUGGAAAAUGAAAUGAGUGGAGCUGGUCCUGUGCUUAUUUGCUUGUUUCUUGAAUGCCAGCUAUUGCAGUGACGCAUUAUUUUGGGAUGUUGUUUGAUUUUCCUGU
Anguilla anguilla (European eel) is the source of this 483-nucleotide long non-coding RNA. RefSeq lists it as uncharacterized. The record is from RefSeq and is a predicted model, not a curated record. Lineage: Eukaryota; Metazoa; Chordata; Actinopteri; Anguilliformes; Anguillidae. The transcript is spliced from 3 exons.